RNAcentral lists this ribosomal RNA (327 nucleotides) under Corbicula sp. C1b. RNAcentral's name for it is "partial 28S ribosomal RNA". Lineage: Eukaryota; Metazoa; Mollusca; Bivalvia; Venerida; Cyrenidae. The record is from RNAcentral.
CCGGCCGCCGCACGGAGCUCGCAAAGUUCGGAUCCGCAAGGACCGGGCCAGCGGGACGUCCGCGUGGCAGGGUGCACUUUCUCCGCGGUCGAGUGCUACGACCGGUUUCGCGGCGGUCAGAAGCCCGUCGGAAAGGUAGCGCCGCCCCUCGGGGUGUCGUGUUAUAGGCCGCCGCGGUGGACUCGCCGCGAGACCGAGGACGCUUGCCGCGCCGAGCGGUCCCGGGCCGUCUUGGGAGGUUCGACCUCGGCUGCACUGCUCCGCAGAGCACCGUAACCGCCGCCCUAGCACGGGUCCGGAGACUGCCGGCGCCUCGGGUCAGUAGCG